UACGGAGGGUGCAAGCGUUGUCCGGAUUUAUUGGGUUUAAAGGGUGCGUAGGCGGCCCGUUAAGUCAGCGGUGAAAUCCCGGGGCUCAACCCCGGAACUGCCGUUGAUACUGGCGGGCUUGAGUUCGGUCGAGGCGGGCGGAACUGGCGGUGUAGCGGUGAAAUGCUUAGAUACCGCCAAGAACCCCGAUUGCGUAGGCAGCUCGCUUGGCCGAAACUGACGCUGAGGCGCGAAGGCUAGGGGAGCGAACAGG
This 253-nucleotide ribosomal RNA is filed under the name uncultured bacterium. RNAcentral describes it as "partial 16S ribosomal RNA". It matches the Rfam family "Bacterial small subunit ribosomal RNA", at positions 524 to 776 of the family's 1533-position model. The record is from RNAcentral.